CACAUGGUGACGGUAAACUUCUGCGUUCUGUCUCAUAAUGCACUUAUGCGUCAGUUUAUUAUAUGCAAUAUCUGCAUUAGUGCAAGUCUGCAGCCAGACCCUCUUGGACGGUUGAGUGGGUUUUGUGUAUUAGUCUGGACUGUCACUCCCGCACUGACUUUCUGAAAAGCCCUGCAUGGAUUGAGGCGUGUGAACCAGGGCAGGGAUGCCUAGACCAGAAGGGGGGGAAAUAAAUAAUUUAAAUAUUAGACACAGACUUUAAAUUUCACCAAACUGAUUCAGAAUUGUGCUAGGGGAAGCUGGUUAAGCUGUUUGUGAAGUUAUUUAAAUGUGGUCUUGAGAAGCAAUAAAACCAGAAGUCAUCGACGGGGGUUUUGGUACAGGAAAUCCUGUUGUGAUUUCCAUCAAAUAUAAAGCUGCCACACAGUCACAGAGCAAGAAUCAGAUGAGAAAUGCUGCAGAUGAGGAUCCCACACACACAGAAGGAGACGAUGGCUCAGUUUUCAGUAAGUGUGAUUGUGCGGAUGGUCGUGGCUCUCACAGUCGUCUCAUCUUUGUCAUUUUACAGAAAGUAUGGAAAGGGAACAUCAGUAGUCGCAGGAUAUUCCACUGUUACCAUUGUCUGUAGACUGAAGGUCAAAGUGCAAGCAACCAGCAAAAAACAUUCAAGAGCUCAAUUUUACUACUUCUGAGGCAGGUGUUCCUGCAAAAAUAUUUCUUCAUGGAGGAG
This is a long non-coding RNA of Cyprinus carpio (common carp), 730 nucleotides long. RefSeq lists it as uncharacterized. The record is from RefSeq and is a predicted model, not a curated record. NCBI's taxonomy places the organism in Eukaryota, Metazoa, Chordata, Actinopteri, Cypriniformes, Cyprinidae.